This 1861-nucleotide ribosomal RNA is filed under the name Tiamastus cavicola. RNAcentral describes it as "SSU rRNA". It matches the Rfam family "Eukaryotic small subunit ribosomal RNA". The record is from RNAcentral. Lineage: Eukaryota; Metazoa; Arthropoda; Insecta; Siphonaptera; Rhopalopsyllidae.
GUCUCAAAGAUUAAGCCAUGCAUGUCUCAGUGCAAGCCACAUUAAGGUGAAACCGCGAAUGGCUCAUUACAUCAGUUAUGGUUCCUUAGAUCGUACCCACAUUACUUGGAUAACUGUGGUAAUUCUAGAGCUAAUACAUGCAAAUAGAGUUCCGACCAGAGAUGGAAGGAAUGCUUUUAUUAGAUCAAAACCAAUCGGUGGCGGGCUUGCCUUGCUCACCGUUUGACUUGGUGACUCUGAAUAACUUUGUGCUGAUCGCAUGGUCUUGUACCGGCGACGCAUCUUUCAAAUGUCUGCCUUAUCAACUGUCGAUGGUAGUUUCUGCGCCUACCAUGGUUGUUACGGGUAACGGGGAAUCAGGGUUCGAUUCCGGAGAGGGAGCCUGAGAAACGGCUACCACAUCCAAGGAAGGCAGCAGGCGCGCAAAUUACCCACUCCCGGCACGGGGAGGUAGUGACGAAAAAUAACGAUACGGGACUCAUCCGAGGCCCCGUAAUCGGAAUGAGUACACUUUAAAUCCUUUAACGAGGACCAAUUGGAGGGCAAGUCUGGUGCCAGCAGCCGCGGUAAUUCCAGCUCCAAUAGCGUAUAUUAAAGUUGUUGCGGUUAAAAAGCUCGUAGUUGAAUUUGUGUCUCGCACUGUCGGUUCACCGCCCGCGGUGCUAACUGGCAUGUUUGCGAGACGUCCUGCCGGUGGAUGGUACGUAAUAUUGAGAUCUUUACGGAUUUCUUUAUUGCUCAUCCGACUUUUUAAAUCCUGUCGCGGUGCUCUUAAUUGAGUGUCGAGGCGGGCCGGCACGYUWAYUWWUGMMYGAAUAAUBAGUGCAUGGAAUAAUAGAACAGGACCUUGGUUCUAUUUUGUUGGUUUUCGGAACCCCAAGGUAAUGAUUAAUAGGGACAGAUGGGGGCAUUCGUAUUGCGACGUUAGAGGUGAAAUUCUUGGAUCGUCGCAAGACGGACUAAAGCGAAAGCAUUUGCCAAAGAUGUUUUCAUUAAUCAAGAACGAAAGUCAGAGGUUCGAAGGCGAUCAGAUACCGCCCUAGUUCUGACCAUAAACGAUGCCAGCUAGCGAUCCGCCAAAGUUCCUCCGAUGACUUGGCGGGUAGCUUUCGGGAAACCAAAGCUUUUGGGUUCCGGGGGAAGUAUGGUUGCAAAGCUGAAACUUAAAGGAAUUGACGGAAGGGCACCACCAGGAGUGGAGCCUGCGGCUUAAUUUGACUCAACACGGGAAACCUGACCAGGCCCRGACACUGGAAGGAUUGACAGAUUGAGAGCUCUUUCUUGAUUCGGUGGGUGGUGGUGCAUGGCCGUUCUUAGUCGGUGGAGCGAUUUGUCUGGUUAAUUCCGAUAACGGACGAGACUCUAGCCUGCUAAAUAGGCGUACUUUCCGGUAUCUCGAAGGCCCGCCGGCUCGACUUCGGUCGUUGUCGCGUGUGGUUUUUACUACCGGCGUACACAUAUAUCUUCUUAGAGGGACAGGUGGCAUUUAGUCGCACGAGAUUGAGCAAUAACAGGUCUGUGAUGCCCUUAGAUGUUCUGGGCCGCACGCGCGCUACACUGAAGGGAUCAGCAGGUUUUCCUUGGCCGAAAGGUCCGGGUAAUCCGUUGAAGCCCCUUCGUGCUAGGGAUUGGGGCUUGCAAUUCUUCCCCAUGAACGAGGAAUUCCCAGUAAGCGCGAGUCAUAAGCUUGCGUUGAUUACGUCCCUGCCCUUUGUGCACACCGCCCGUCGCUACUACUGAUUGAAUGAUUUAGUGAGGCCUUCGGACCGGUGCGCGGCAGCGUUUCUGACAUUGCCGAUGUUGCUGGGAAGAUGUCCAAACUUGAUUAUUUAGAAGAAGUAAAAGUCGUAACAAGGUUUCC